AGAAGAAAAUUUGGAUUUCGAUUCGUCAUCGCAGUGAAAGCAUUAUUACUGAAAAUCCGCCAUCUGCUCACAUCCCAGAGUCGCUGCCAGAAUUGAAGGAGGAAAUAUCCGUAUUGUUCGUCAAUAAGGCAGCGGAUAAAUAAGUGCUCCCCGGGUGGUCAGUAGAAACGGAAACCGAGCGAGGUAGCGAAGGUAGCAGCAAUCCGUCGUCACCGAUUCCAGUAGAAAGCUGUGGAGGACUUGCAAUUGCUGCUGCUAAGACGGAAUCCGAGUCUCCUAUUGCCAGAUUAGCCGGAAGGACAUACAACCAAAGCUCAGAUUGCUGAAGACUUUGGUGGCGAAGGGCAAAGAGGAAAAGAAGGAGAAAGAAACCUUCACAGCCUCGAGACAAGGCAAAGUGUCGGGUGCCCAGCAAACCACAUUACGGACGGUAGCCAU
This is a long non-coding RNA of Uranotaenia lowii, 438 nucleotides long. RefSeq lists it as uncharacterized. NCBI's taxonomy places the organism in Eukaryota, Metazoa, Arthropoda, Insecta, Diptera, Culicidae. The record is from RefSeq and is a predicted model, not a curated record. The transcript is spliced from 5 exons.